RNAcentral lists this long non-coding RNA (1303 nucleotides) under Daphnia pulicaria. RNAcentral describes it as "uncharacterized LOC124350260, transcript variant X2". The record is from RNAcentral. Lineage: Eukaryota; Metazoa; Arthropoda; Branchiopoda; Diplostraca; Daphniidae.
AGAAUUUUCUAUUGUUUCUUGUCAGUCGUAAGCUUGAAAAGUGUGGUUGUUUGUUGAUUACUUUACACGCGGUUGCAACAGAGAAGUCAAACCAAGGAAAUGUGUGAUCAACAAAUCGGCAGGCUGUCUAAGUGUGAACAAAUUAUGUCAAUUGCUUUCCAAGUUCACACACACAGUAAAGAAGGAUUGCUGACCGCUAGAUGCCACUGUCUAAAGUUGAUGUUGUCAUACACAAACACAACAACCUGAUCCUGCAUCAUGAAACAUGGCGAAACAAAUUGUUGCUAUUGUGUACUUAUUUUUCUGUGAUUCCGAAUACUGAAUUGAACUUCGUUUGUUCAUUCCGUCAUUCUAACAAGUUGACUUAGUGCUCAGUUACUUUCCAUCCAUUAGAUCCUUAUGCUGUCAAUAGCCUGAAACUCAUAUUUGGAACCCACAUGCAGUGGAAUUAGACAGAAGUUCUUGUGCAUGGACCAUAGGAUCUUUUCUGAAUCUUGCAAGUGUAACUUGUGUCAGAAUGUUUGUCGAGUGUACAACUGUUUCUACAGCUGUUCAGAAGGCAACCCAGCUGAGAGAUAGUUCCAGUUUCAGUGAAUGUGUACAUGAAGAGUGUGAAGUGUAUUUAGUACAUUUACCAGAUCUGCUUGAUGAAAGUCAAAUGCCUUACUGAAUUCGUCACCCAAAUGAUAAAGAACUAUUUGUGACGUCCCCUGAGAUCGCGAGUCGGCCGCCAGUUUCAAUCUACAACGCAGUUUCUUCAUGGAAUCGUGAGGUCCUGCCACGGAGAUCCUUGAGUCAACGCUGGCUUUUGUCGAUGACAGAAGAGGGACUUCUAUCAACGUUCGGAUCCUUAUCUUAACGACGUACGCUGCUUUUUGUGCUUCACUGGCGAAUUAGAUCACUUCAGUGUUCGCUUCCGUCCGCUGUGAAAUACCUGCAGUCACUCGCCACGGGACUAUGCCAAGGUAAUGCAGAGAAGACGUCGAGAAGAUGGAUUUUCUCAUCUUUAACAAUCGUCACCGGUCUCCGUCGGAUGUUGCCACUGCUCCUGGUGUGAACGAAACUCGGUUGAAUCGCGACCGACACCGAGACUCGUCAUCAACGUGGAUCAUCGUAUUGUUGGUUUUAUUGCGUUUGUGUUAGUGUUAGUUAACCCGUUGUCUGCCACGUCUUUGUUCUCCCCUGCACGGGCCGCGCUGUUCGGUCUCGUGGUUUUACAAGCCGCGGGGUCGAAAAGUCGCCAAGCCCAAAAUUUGCCGCAAGGCGCCUGUUAUAAGGCAAUGCACCAUGCACCCCUCCUUGU